This is a non-coding RNA of Miniopterus natalensis, 879 nucleotides long. Lineage: Eukaryota; Metazoa; Chordata; Mammalia; Chiroptera; Miniopteridae. The record is from RefSeq and is a predicted model, not a curated record.
CCAGUCUGAGGGCAGCGUUCCCUCGGUGCUCAGCCUUGGUGACUCCACUCAUGGGCCCCAUUUACCAAGACUGCAGGAAGCCUGACGCCAUUUGGUUAUACCUCCCAAGAGAAGUAUGUGUGACAAGGACUCGGUGGCUGGCACACCUUGUGAAUAAGUCCAGCCUUAAGUUUUUUUCAACCUUAAAACGUAAUCAAUUUCACAACGUGGUACCAGUCUCCUUCAUCCCGAAAAGGCAUUACCUCUCCUGGUAGUCAGAGUUUGCAUCAAAUGCUGCUGAUUGUUACGGAUGGCGGGGCCCUUCCGGGGUCUCCUUGCGGCCUCUUCGUCUCUGGCCUUUGCUCGUGUGCAGCAUUUUCCAUACCAUCCCCAUCUGUGACUGUCUGCUUCCUGGCGCCUGGCCUCUCGUCCUGUGCUUUCACUUGUGCUUCCAACAAGACUUCAUGUAUUCUUCCAUUUGAAAUUCUAGAAGUCUGAUCUGGAUGUUGGACUCCUUGUUCUCAGACAUGAACCCAACAUGGCUGUAAUCUGCAGAGGACGGGGCUGGGAUUCAUGGCAAAGAGCCCUCUCGUAGAAUAUUAUAGAAACUCUUCACAGUCUGUGUUUAAUAGACCAGUUUGGUUUGGCAUCAGCUUGACAUAAACUUUUGGUUAUCCAAAGCCCUUAAUUGCUUUGAAGUAAAAGCCCAGUGCUGCUCCUUUUUAUUAAAAUUGUGUUUUUUCUUGUUAUUGUGGUCUAUUUUGGAGGACUGAGCUGUGAUUUUUGCAUAUGUUCUACAUAAUGCCUCAUUAGCAAAAAAUCUUGUAUCAUUUACAAGUAGCCUGAAUGUCUGUGUUGUUUUGAACAAAAGUCCAUAUUAAAAUUUAAACAAUAUAAAAA